RNAcentral lists this ribosomal RNA (547 nucleotides) under Coniochaeta sp. RNAcentral's name for it is "partial large subunit ribosomal RNA". It matches the Rfam family "Eukaryotic large subunit ribosomal RNA", at positions 54 to 626 of the family's 3401-position model. Lineage: Eukaryota; Fungi; Ascomycota; Sordariomycetes; Coniochaetales; Coniochaetaceae. The record is from RNAcentral.
AGGAAAAGAAACCAACAGGGAUUGCCCCAGUAACGGCGAGUGAAGCGGCAACAGCUCAAAUUUGAAAUCUGGCUCUCGGGCCCGAGUUGUAAUUUGUAGAGGAUGCUUUUGGUGAGGUGCCUUCUGAGUUCCCUGGAACGGGACGCCAGAGAGGGUGAGAGCCCCGUAUAGUCGGCCACCGAUCCUUUGUAAAGCUCCUUCGACGAGUCGAGUAGUUUGGGAAUGCUGCUCAAAAUGGGAGGUAUAUCUCUUCUAAAGCUAAAUAUAGGCCAGAGACCGAUAGCGCACAAGUAGAGUGAUCGAAAGAUGAAAAGCACUUUGAAAAGAGGGUUAAAUAGCACGUGAAAUUGUUGAAAGGGAAGCGCUUGUGACCAGACUUGUGCCGGGCUGAUCAUCCGUCCUUUUGGGCGGUGCACUCGACCCGGCUCAGGCCAGCGUCGGUUCUCGUAGGGGGAUAAAAGCUUCGGGAACGUGGCUCCUUCGGGAGUGUUAUAGCCCGUUGCUUAAUACCCUUGUGGGGACCGAGGUUCGCGCUCUGCAAGGACGC